This 253-nucleotide ribosomal RNA is filed under the name uncultured bacterium. RNAcentral's name for it is "partial 16S ribosomal RNA". It matches the Rfam family "Bacterial small subunit ribosomal RNA", at positions 524 to 776 of the family's 1533-position model. The record is from RNAcentral.
AACGUAGGAGGCGAGCGUUAUCCGGAUUUACUGGGUGUAAAGCGCGAGCAGGCGGUUUAUCAAGUGGUGUGUGAAAGCUCUCGGCUCAACCGGGGGAGGACGGACCAAACUGAUAAACUGGAGGUAGGUAGAGGCAGACGGAAUUCCGGGUGUAGUGGUGAAAUGCGUAGAGAUCCGGAGGAACACCAGUGGCGAAGGCGGUCUGCUGGGCCUGACCUGACGCUCAGACGCGAAAGCAUGGGGAGCGAACGGG